This 403-nucleotide ribosomal RNA is filed under the name uncultured bacterium. RNAcentral describes it as "partial 16S ribosomal RNA". It matches the Rfam family "Bacterial small subunit ribosomal RNA", at positions 338 to 755 of the family's 1533-position model. The record is from RNAcentral.
CCUACGGGAGGCAGCAGUGGGGAAUAUUGGGCAAUGGAGGAAACUCUGACCCAGCAACGCCGCGUGAAUGAUGAAGGUCUUCGGAUUGUAAAGGUCUUUUCUAAGGGAAGAAGAAAGUGACGGUACCGUAGGAAUAAGCCUCGGCUAACUACGUGCCAGCAGCCGCGGUAAUACGUAGGAGGCGAGCUUUAUCCGGACUGACUGGGCGUAAAGGGUGCGUAGGGGGUUUGGCAAGUUAGUAGCGUUACUCCAAGGCUCAACCUUGGAACUCCUACUAAAACGGUUGGACUUGAGUGCAGGCGGGGCAACCGGCAUUCCUAGUGUAGCGUUGUCAUGCGUAGAUAUUAGGAGGAACACCAGUGGCGAAGGCGGGUUGCUAGACUGUAACUGACACUGUGGCACG